Molecule: ribosomal RNA, 335 nt
Filed under: uncultured bacterium
Lineage: Bacteria
Description: bacterial SSU rRNA
Rfam family: Bacterial small subunit ribosomal RNA
Source: RNAcentral
GAGUGAACGGCUGGCGGCGUCGCGUUAACACCAGUGGCGAGUCGAACGAAGCGCUUAAAUGGAUUUCUUCGGAGUUGAAGGUUUUUGUAGGACUGAGUGGCGGACGGGUGAGUAACGCGUGGGUAACCUGCCUCAUACAGGGGGAUAACAGUUAGAAAUGACUGCUAAUACCGCAUAAGCGCACAGUGCUGCAUGGCACAGUGUGAAAAACUCCGGUGGUAUGAGAUGGACCCGCGUCUGAUUAGCUAGUUGGUGGGGUAACGGCCUACCAAGGCGACGAUCAGUAGCCGGCCUGAGAGGGUGAACGGCCACAUUGGGACUGAGACACGGCCCAA